CAACUUGAUAGCCCAACGAAGAACGCGACAUCCUGUCGCAACGUUGGACAAUGAACAUCCUGUUCU
RNAcentral lists this small RNA (66 nucleotides) under Tumebacillus algifaecis. RNAcentral's name for it is "Bacillaceae-1 RNA". It matches the Rfam family "Bacillaceae-1 RNA". The record is from Rfam by way of RNAcentral. Lineage: Bacteria; Bacillati; Bacillota; Bacilli; Caryophanales; Alicyclobacillaceae.